Molecule: transfer RNA, 74 nt
Filed under: Listeria monocytogenes
Lineage: Bacteria; Bacillati; Bacillota; Bacilli; Caryophanales; Listeriaceae
Description: tRNA-Pro
Rfam family: tRNA
About the family: Transfer RNA (tRNA) molecules are approximately 80 nucleotides in length.
Source: RNAcentral
CUUGAAGUAGCUCAGCUUGGUAGAGCACUUGGUUUGGGACCAAGGGGUCGCAGGUUCGAAUCCUGUCUUCCCGA